GAUGAACGCUGGCGGCGUGCCUAAUACAUGCAAGUCGAGCGAACAGGCGAGGAGCUUGCUCCUCUGACGUUAGCGGCGGACGGGUGAGUAACACGUGGAUAACCUACCUAUAAGACUGGGAUAACUUCGGGAAACCGGAGCUAAUACCGGAUAAUAUAUUGAACCGCAUGGUUCAAUAGUGAAAGACGGUUUUGCUGUCACUUAUAGAUGGAUCCGCGCCGCAUUAUCUGGUUGGUAAGGUAACGGCUUACCAAGGCAACGAUGCGUAGCCGACCUGAGAGGGUGAUCGGCCACACUGGAACUGAGACACGGUCCAGACUCCUACGGGAGGCAGCAGUAGGGAAUCUUCCGCAAAGGGCGAAAGCCUGACGGAGCAACGCCGCGUGAGUGAUGAAGGUCUUCGGAUCGUAAAACUCUGUUAUUAGGGAAGAACAAAUGUGUAAGUAACUAUGCACGUCUUGACGGUACCUAAUCAGAAAGCCACGGCUAACUACGUG
Molecule: ribosomal RNA, 497 nt
Filed under: uncultured bacterium
Lineage: Bacteria
Description: partial 16S ribosomal RNA
Rfam family: Bacterial small subunit ribosomal RNA
Source: RNAcentral